UGAGAUGUAGUUCAGUGGUAAGAGCACAUGCUCAUCUCAUGUCCCUGGGUUCAAUCCCCAGCAUUGCAA
Molecule: transfer RNA, 69 nt
Filed under: Ictidomys tridecemlineatus (thirteen-lined ground squirrel)
Lineage: Eukaryota; Metazoa; Chordata; Mammalia; Rodentia; Sciuridae
Description: Spermophilus tridecemlineatus (thirteen-lined ground squirrel) tRNA
Rfam family: tRNA
About the family: Transfer RNA (tRNA) molecules are approximately 80 nucleotides in length. Their secondary structure includes four short double-helical elements and three loops (D, anti-codon, and T loops).
Source: Rfam by way of RNAcentral